CGAAGGCAGCCCGCCAGCCUGCUUAGCAUUCGGCUCUCACUGCUGGGAGCAACCGCGUCUGCUAAAGAGCUGAGCUCAGCGGCUCCGAGCAUCUUCGUCCAGUGUUCCCCCCAUCCUGGCUCGUCAUAUGAUUUCUCCUAAGGGAUAACUGCUGAGCGGGACCACAUCUCCAAGCUGAUCCUUUGCUGAUAAGACAGCUGCCAAGUCUCCAGCACUAAGACAAAAGAGUUUUUCUCUUCCCAGCAGGUUUUUCUGCUGUGAAUGACAGAGGAAGGGGGAAAAGCAAGCUGCCUGGCAAUCCUUGUGGGCAAGAGGCUUUGGGGGCUUCUUCCCCCCCGCUGUGGUGGCAGACCAUGGAGCUUUUCAGGCUGAGCCUGGGCUGUAUUUGCCUCCUUCCUUGGCUUGAGGCUAAAACCAUUGAUUCAUCAAAGAUCGAUGCCAUGGACAGAGAAACUUCUGUGAGCUUUACUGACCCACCUCUGGCUACCAAAUUUAACAGCACAGUGUCUCCAGUGAAGACCAAACAGGCAUACCUCCCGGCAAAUGAGGAUGCAUCCCACAAUCACUCUAAAAAGCACCAUGGAAAUCGAGGAAAAAAUGCUGGGGCCAGGCUUGCAGGCACCAACUGGAAAACAGCCAUGCUGGUUCUCAGCCCCUUGGCAUUCAUACUGGGAUUAAUAAUACUGACACUCAAUGUUCACUACAACAAGAAAAAGAAAAUUCUCUCUGCUCUGAAGAGCUCCCCAGACAACAGCAGCAGAGCUGACUUACGGGAGCCGUCUCCCUUACGAAGAGGUCCCCAGCCAUACCUUCCACCAUCUCGCUCCCCUUCCUUGAGGCAUGGAGAGAUACUCAUCGAGUGGAAAGAUGGGACUGUCACUCCUCUUUUUGAUAAUGCCAAUUAUCAAAUGGACUAGCUCCAAAUUAGCGGAGCUGUUGUUCCAUCCUGUGUCACUCUUCCCAUCAGGAAGAGUGCCACCAUAGCCAAUCUCCUCCCUAGACUUGUUUUGACAGGGAGUUGUAAGCGCUGUUUGAGAUUUUUUAACACUUGAGAACAAUCUCCUUGCACAGCACGAGGUUGAAGCAAGCAGAGCAGAUUGUUUGGUUUGCAUAGGCACAUGCUGCUUAGCUCUUCCAGAGCUAAUUUAACCCCUAACAAAACCUAGAUUUAGCUAAAUGAAGCCAAGUCUCUCACCAGCUGCAACUGUCCAUUGACCUGAAAUUCUAGUUACUGAGCAUAUGAAAAAGUCCUCAGAGCCAAGGUGUAAGGUGAAAAACGGAAGUUUUGAUGAUCCUUAAAUCCUUUUUAAGAUAAAACUAGCUGCCAACAGACACAGAAGGCUGUCAGUUACUUUGUCAAUGUGAGAACAUUGAUAAUAAGCAUUGCCUUCAGGACUCAAAAGAUUAGUCUCCUCCAGACAUCUGCCAAAAUACUCCUCCCACUAAGUUAUCAAUUAAGUAAUAGCAAGCAAUUUUUCUAACUUAAAAGGAGCACUCCAUCAUUCUCUCUGCACCACUGUGAGAGUUCUGCUGAGAGAAUGCGUUCUCAAAAUAUUUCCAUAUUUAGGAUGUAUUGGACCUUAUUAUAACACAUAUCCUCUUUCUUUAUGUAGAAUGACACGUAAUGUCAGUGGUGCUUGUCAGGGAUAUUACAUUAUCCAGCCAUUUUAUACCAGUUUCAGCCCCUGAUUUCCUAUAAUAUGGAAUAGUCAAUGAACAAAUAUACUGCUCCCAUCUAGAGCAGUAAUAUAGUGGGGAUUUUUUUCUAGAAAGCAAUAAAGCACAGUUUACAGCUUUUUACGCA
Long non-coding RNA from Athene cunicularia (burrowing owl), 1804 nucleotides. The record is from Ensembl. NCBI's taxonomy places the organism in Eukaryota, Metazoa, Chordata, Aves, Strigiformes, Strigidae.